Molecule: long non-coding RNA, 567 nt
Organism: Amphiprion ocellaris (clown anemonefish)
Lineage: Eukaryota; Metazoa; Chordata; Actinopteri; Pomacentridae
Source: Ensembl
GCUUGACAUCGCUAAUGCUGCUGCCGUGAGAGUUGAAAACAAGAGAAAAAGGUCAGGUCUUAUUUGAUGCCUGGAAAAUGUGAAACUCCAGUCCUGGUGUCCAACGGGGUUGACCAGUGAUCCAGUUGAUGGUGAACCUCCCAGUGGAACUUUGAGCCUCCACCACACCAUCCAGUGGAUUCUGUGGUUUUUCCUUCUUCUGCUGAUGAUCUCCUGAUCUGGUUCCUCUGAGAGCUUCUAGCCUGAAGCUGAGGAAGCAGACGUCCAUGAAGCAGCUGAGAACGUUGAUUAAAGUCUGAUAAGUGAAGCUGCUGUUUCUCUGCUGUUACAUCAGAUGAAGGACGAGGCUCAGAGCAGAUUCAUGUGUGGAAGAAUUACUGUAAAUGUGGAUUUAUAUUCACUAUUUUCUAAUAAAACUCCCUGAAUGAGGAGCUCUGACUGAUGGAAGAGGAUUUAUUAUAAAGUUAAAAACAUGACUGAUGCUAACUGAGGUGUUAAUUUUUCUUUUAUUUAACCUAAAUAUUUAUUUUAAGAGUUUAUUGGAUGUCAAGUCAUUUAAGUUUGGUG